Melanotaenia boesemani (Boeseman's rainbowfish) is the source of this 1494-nucleotide long non-coding RNA. RefSeq lists it as uncharacterized. The transcript is spliced from 3 exons. The record is from RefSeq and is a predicted model, not a curated record. NCBI's taxonomy places the organism in Eukaryota, Metazoa, Chordata, Actinopteri, Atheriniformes, Melanotaeniidae.
CGGCAAGGAAGACUGCAGGACAGCAUUCAAAUCCCUUCAGAUUGCCAGUUAGUGCAUUGCAAUGAUGGUUUUGACUGAGAUUUUAAAGGUGGGGUAUGUUUUUCCCUUAGUUCAUCGUCGGGUCGCCGAUGCAUUUGGAAGGGGAGGAAUGUAACGAGUGCCACCUGGGGGUUGGUGGUUAACUUCCUGAUGGGGAAGGAAGUGGAUAAAAGAGGCAGGAAGUGGAGGGAAAGGCCAGCUGUAACCUAUUGACGUCGGGUGAUGAGGUGAGCCUCAUGUCGAGGGUGAGCUUGUGUGGCCGCACAGGAUUUUAGAGGGCAGUGCACUACGGUUUCUGCGUAUGAGGGAUACCAAUACGCCAGUUGCCGGACGGCUAAUGCCACUGUUUCCUGCUGUCCUAAAUUUGUUUAGUUUUUCCUUUUGCAGUAGUUAGUUCCGCUUGAGUGGGGUGCUUGUGAUUGCAAAGACGUAGUUGUACAGUGGACUAACUACUGCCUUAUUUUUGUUUUUGUUUUUUGUUGUUUUGUUUGGGCUACUCCCUCGUCUAAGCAUAAUACAGUAGGUCAUCACACAGCUCAGUUCCUGGGCUCCGUAAAACCGGUGUGAAUUUGAGGUGCCUUCACGUGUGAGGAUUUGUAGUGGAAACUUCUUCCGUGUGCGGUGAUGUGUCAUUUCUAGGGUUUAUGGUUAUGGGGUUAUGCCUAGAACUGUAGGGUGUGUGACAAGCCUGAAUUAAGCUGAUGAGGAGUUCCUCUGCAUUUGUUAAUAAAAUCUUUCUAAUGAUUUGAAGCUUCCGAGGUGUUAUUGACACGUGAGUAGUAGGACCUGUUACAAUUGGUUUAGUAGUUUUCUGUUUGGAAAUAACCAGUAUGUUUAUGUAAACAAAGUUAAAUUCAAAUCUAUUGACGAUGGGGGUCCCUCAGGGCUCAAUCUUAGGGCCACUUCUAUUCAUUUUGUAUGUUAAUAACUUUAUGAAUUCCUCAUCUGUAUUACAUAAAAUAUUGUUUGCCAAUUACACAAACUUAUUUUUUCACACAAGAAUCCAAAUGAACUUGAACACAUCAUAAAUACACUCGGUUUCGGUGCAACAAGAAAAAACAAACUACAUUGUUUUCUGUUCUAAAAAAAACAUGGUGCAAAACAAAUUAGUGCUUAAAUAAAUAAACAGGACAUUACAAGUCAGCUAUACGACGUUCCUAAAGAUCCUUAGUGAUGAAUUUCUUCAUUUCAAAUGCCACACUAAUUUGACAAAAAAAAAAAAAAAUAAAAAAAUAUUUCAGCUUUGUUCUUUAAGUUGAGAUGUCUGCUUCCACUGCAUUUCUCACCCUAUGAAACUUUUAUAACUCGUUAGACAUUUCCAACCCUCCUUAACAAGCUGGAAAUUAUCCUAAAGAAAGCCAUACCUUCCUUACCAUGGUCUAAGUAUAAUUCUCCUACUAGACCUCUUAAUCAUUAGUCUUUGAGUAGAAUUACCUCCAGAAGACUUAUGUAAUG